UUAGGAUAUAGUGUAAUUUGGUAGCACGGAGAUUUUUGAAUUCUCAAGAGUAGGUUCGAUUCCUAUAAUUCUA
RNAcentral lists this transfer RNA (73 nucleotides) under Chodsigoa smithii (Smith's shrew). RNAcentral describes it as "tRNA-Gln". It matches the Rfam family "tRNA". Rfam says of the family: Transfer RNA (tRNA) molecules are approximately 80 nucleotides in length. Their secondary structure includes four short double-helical elements and three loops (D, anti-codon, and T loops). Further hydrogen bonds mediate the characteristic L-shaped molecular structure. tRNAs have two regions of fundamental functional importance: the anti-codon, which is responsible for specific mRNA codon recognition, and the 3' end, to which the tRNAs corresponding amino acid is attached (by aminoacyl-tRNA synthetases). tRNAs cope with the degeneracy of the genetic code in two manners: having more than one tRNA (with a specific anti-codon) for a particular amino acid; and 'wobble' base-pairing, i.e. permitting non-standard base-pairing at the 3rd anti-codon position. Lineage: Eukaryota; Metazoa; Chordata; Mammalia; Eulipotyphla; Soricidae. The record is from RNAcentral.